This 2056-nucleotide long non-coding RNA is filed under the name Salmo salar (Atlantic salmon). RNAcentral describes it as "lncRNA (ENSSSAG00000099150.1)". The record is from RNAcentral. Lineage: Eukaryota; Metazoa; Chordata; Actinopteri; Salmoniformes; Salmonidae.
GCUGACCACCGCUAACCACUGAUCUCCACUAACCACUGUUCUCCGGUAACCGCUGACCCCCGCUAACCGCUGAUCCCCGCUAACCACUGACCUCCGCAGACCGCUGACCACCGCUAACCACUGACCUCCGCUGACCGCUGACCACCGCUAACCGCUGACCACCGCUAACCGCUGACCUCCGCUAACCGCUGACCCCCGCUAACCACUGACCUCCGCUGACCGCUAACCACUGACACCUGCUAACCGCUGACCACCGCUAACCACUGACCUCCGCUGACCGCCGACCACCGCUAACCACUGACCCCUGCUAACCACUGACCUCCGCUGACCGCUAACCACUGACACCUGCUAACCGCUGACCACCGCUAACCACUGACCUCCGCUGACCGCUGACCCCCGCUAACCGCUGACCACCACUAACCGCAUGGGAUGGUCCAAAACCUUCUGACCACAGCUGGUACUGGUCCAACUGGUACUGGUCCAAAUGGUACUGGUCCAAAUGGUCAGAUACUGGUCCAACUGGUACUGGUCCAACAGGUACUGGUCCAAAUGGUACUGGUCCAACUACUACUGGUCCAAAUGGUCAGAUACUGGUCCAACUGGUACUGGUCCAACUGGUACUGGUCCAUACAGAACAGAGUCCUUCAGGGAGGAUCCACAGUCCUCCUCUUGUUGUCUGGUCCACAGGCUGCUAACCGCUACUAGACGGAACGCACUGGAUGGAUCUACAUGGAGUAGACCAUGGUCCAACAGUGGAAGGGCUGAUGGAGUAAACCAUGGUCAAACAGUGGAAGGGCUGAGAGAUGGAGUAGAAGGUGGAAGGGAAGGGCUGAGAGAUGGAGUAAACCAUGGUCAAACAGUGGAAGGGCUGAGAGAUGGAGUAAACCAUGGUCAAACAGUGGAAGGGCUGAUGGAGUAAACCAUGGUCAAACAGUGGAAGGGCUGAUGGAGUAAACCAUGGUCCAACAGUGGAAGGGCUGAUGGAGUAAACCAUGGUCCAACAGUGGAAGGGCUGAUGGAGUAAACCAUGGUCAAACAGUGGAAGGGCUGAUGGAGUAGACCAUGGUCAAACAGUGGAAGGGCUGAGAGAUGGAGUAGAAGGUGGAAGGGAAGGGCUGAGAGAUGGAAUAAACCAUGGUCAAACAGUGGAAGGGCUGAUGGAGUAGACCAUGGUCAAACAGUGGAGUGGCUGAUGGAGUAGACCAUGGUCAAACAGUGGAAGGGCUGAGAGAUGGAGUAAACCAUGGUCAAACAGUGGAAGGACUGAUGGAAUAAACCAUGGUCAAACAGUGGAAGGGCUCAGAGAGGAACAAUACAUUCCUGUGGGACGAUUCUGUCACCUUCAGGUUAAACUGUACUGUAUGUUUCAUCUAGUCUGAAGUUUGGACACUGGGUGGUUCUACACUGAGUGGACAAAACAUUAGGAACACUUCCCUAACACCCUCAGAACAGCCUCACUUCGUCGGGGGCGUGGACUCUACAAGGUGUUGAAAGCUUUCCAACAAGGAUGUUGGUCCAUGUUGACUCCAAUGCUUCCUACAGUUGUGUCAAGUUGGCUGUCCUUCGGUUGGUGGAACAUUCUUCAUACACACGGGAAACUAUUGAGCGUGAAAAAUCCAGCAGCGUUGCAGUUCUUGACACAAAACGGUGCACCUGGCACCUACUACCAUACCCCGUUUUAUUCAGUGUAUAACAGAGGUAACAUUACAUUAACACUACUGUAAUUCUGUAACUACUGUAAUUACUAUUACAUUUACACUACUGUAAUUCUGUAACUACUGUAAUUACUAUUACAUUUACACUACUGUAAUUCUGUAACUACUGUAAUUACUAUUACAUUAACACUAUUGUAAUUCUGUAACUACUGUAAUUACUAUUACAUUAACACUACUGUAAUUCUGUAACUACUGUAAUUACCAUUACAUUAAAAGUACUGUAAUUCUGUAACUACUGUAAUUACUAUUACAUUAACACUACUGUAAUUCUGUAACUACUGUAAUUACCAUUACAUUUACACUACUGUAAUUCUGUAACUACUGUAAUUAUUAUUACAUUA